UGACGGAGAGAAAGGGAUUCGAACCCUUGAAAGAUAUUAUUUCUUUAAAACGGUUUUCGAAACCGCUCCGUUCAACCACUCCGGCAUCUCUCC
This 93-nucleotide transfer RNA is filed under the name Candidatus Blochmanniella pennsylvanica str. BPEN. RNAcentral describes it as "Candidatus Blochmannia pennsylvanicus str. BPEN tRNA-Ser". The record is from RNAcentral. Lineage: Bacteria; Pseudomonadati; Pseudomonadota; Gammaproteobacteria; Enterobacterales; Enterobacteriaceae.